GUAUCUCAUAAGGUGCAUAUGGUGCCUUAGCAUGCCCCCAUUUUUUCACCAAUAUAUGCCAAAGUAUGUGGGGAAAAAAAAUUUUGUGCAUUUUUUACAUACGGAUUGCAUUUUUGCUGGGCAUUUUGUAUAUUUCAUAUGUGCCACUAAGUUCAAACCUCCCAAACUAUGCUCAGCUAAGUCUUCUGAGUAAAAAGACACCCCCAAUGAAUGUCUUUGGCAC
Pelobates cultripes (western spadefoot toad) is the source of this 223-nucleotide non-coding RNA. NCBI's taxonomy places the organism in Eukaryota, Metazoa, Chordata, Amphibia, Anura, Pelobatidae. The record is from the annotation of a GenBank genome assembly.